GUUAUAACGUUGGGGAUCCACCUCUUCCCAUUCCGAACAGAGAAGUUAAGCCCAACGGUGCCGAUGGUACUGCGUCACAGUGGGAGAGUAGGACGCCGCCGUUU
RNAcentral lists this ribosomal RNA (104 nucleotides) under Porphyromonas gingivalis. The record is from RNAcentral. Lineage: Bacteria; Pseudomonadati; Bacteroidota; Bacteroidia; Bacteroidales; Porphyromonadaceae.